GCAGGGGAGAGGCGGUCCGGAUCUCCUCCAUCCACAGCCUUGGUGCCGGGGUCCAACCAUCGGCGAGCAUGGGUGUUCACGUCGAAUGGGGUCUUGGUCUCGCGAUGGAAAUUGAGCAUGGGGAUGAAGAUGGUGCGGUCAUGGCCCUAACGGAAGCGGCCGAAGGACGGGGGCUCCGAGGCGGAGAGGAUGCUAAAAGUAGGGGGG
This 207-nucleotide long non-coding RNA is filed under the name Elaeis guineensis (African oil palm). Its description in RNAcentral is "long non-coding RNA (EGUI_LNC000635)". The record is from RNAcentral. Lineage: Eukaryota; Viridiplantae; Streptophyta; Magnoliopsida; Arecales; Arecaceae.